Molecule: ribosomal RNA, 481 nt
Filed under: uncultured bacterium
Lineage: Bacteria
Description: partial 16S ribosomal RNA
Rfam family: Bacterial small subunit ribosomal RNA
Source: RNAcentral
GAUGAACGCUGGCGGCGUGCCUAACACAUGCAAGUCGAACGGAGAUUACGGACGGAAGUUUUCGGAUGGAAGACUGUAAUUCUUAGUGGCGGACGGGUGAGUAACGCGUGGGCAACCUGCCCUAUACAGGGGGAUAGCAGCUGGAAACGGCUGGUAAGACCGCAUAAGUCGGUUAAAUCGCAUGAUUUGAUCGGGAAAUGAGCAAUCAGGUAUAGGAUGGGCUCGCGUCCGAUUAGCCAGUUGGCAGGGUAAAAGCCUACCAAAGCGACGAUCGGUAGCCGGGCUGGGAGGUCGGACCGACACAUUGGGACUGAGACACGGCCCAAACUCCUACGGGAGGCAGCAGUGGGGGAUAUUGCACAAUGGAGGAUGCUCUGAUGCAGCGACGCCGCGUGAGUGAUGAAGUAUGUCGGUAUGUAAAGCUCUAUCAGCAGGGGCGAUGAUGACGGUACCUGACUAAGAAGCCCCGGCUAACUACGUG